GUGCCAGCCGGCGCGGUAAUACCGGCAGCUCAAGUGAUGUCCCAUGUUAUUGGGCCUAAAGUGUCCGUAGCUGGCCGCGCAAGUCCGUCGGGAGAUCCACCUGCCCAACAGGUGGGCGUCCGGCGGAAACUGUGUGGCUUGGAACCGGAAGGCUCAGAGAGUACGUCCGGGGUAGGAGUGAAAUCCCGUAAUCCCGGACGGACUACCGAUGGCGAAAGCACUCUGAGAAGACGGCUUCGACAGUGAGGGACGAAAGCCAGGGUCUCCAACCGGAUUAGAUACCCUAGUAGUCC
Molecule: ribosomal RNA, 293 nt
Filed under: uncultured bacterium
Lineage: Bacteria
Description: partial 16S ribosomal RNA
Rfam family: Archaeal small subunit ribosomal RNA
Source: RNAcentral